AUGCACGCUGGCGGCGUGCCUCAUACAUGCCAGUCGAGCGAACAGACGAGGAGCUUGCUCCUCUGACGUUAGCGGCGGACGGGUGAGUAACACGUGGAUAACCUACCUAUAAGACUGGGAUAACUUCGGGAAACCGGAGCUAAUACCGGAUAAUAUAUUGAACCGCAUGGUUCAAUAGUGAAAGACGGUUUUGCUGUCACUUAUAGAUGGAUCCGCGCCGCAUUAGCUAGUUGGUAAGGUAACGGCUUACCAAGGCAACGAUGCGUAGCCGACCUGAGAGGGUGAUCGGCCACACUGGAACUGAGACACGGUCCAGACUCCUACGGGAGGCAGCAGUAGGGAAUCUUCCGCAAUGGGCGAAAGCCUGACGGAGCAACGCCGCGUGAGUGAUGAAGGUCUUCGGAUCGUAAAACUCUGUUAUUAGGGAAGAACAAAUGUGUAAGUAACUAUGCACGUCUUGACGGUACCUAAUCAGAAAGCCACGGCUAACUACGUG
This 496-nucleotide ribosomal RNA is filed under the name uncultured bacterium. Its description in RNAcentral is "partial 16S ribosomal RNA". It matches the Rfam family "Bacterial small subunit ribosomal RNA", at positions 29 to 507 of the family's 1533-position model. The record is from RNAcentral.